ACGCACGCUGGCGGCGUGCUUAACCCCUGCAAGUCGAACGGAAAGGCCCUGCUUUUGUGGGGUGCUCGAGUGGCGAACGGGUGAGUAACACGUGAGUAACCUGCCCUUGACUUUGGGAUAACUUCAGGAAACUGGGGCUAAUACCGGAUAGGAGCUCCUGCUGCAUGGUGGGGGUUGGUAAGUUUCGGCGGUUGGGGAUGGACUCGCGGCUUAUCAGCUUGUUGGUGGGGUAGUGGCUUACCAAGGCUUUGACGGGUAGCCGGCCUGAGAGGGUGACCGGCCACAUUGGGACUGAGAUACGGCCCAGACUCCUACGGGAGGCAGCAGUGGGGAAUAUUGCACAAUGGGCGGAAGCCUGAUGCAGCAACGCCGCGUGCGGGAUGACGGCCUUCGGGUUGUAAACCGCUUUCGCCUGUGACGAAGCGUGAGUGACGGUAAUGGGUAAAGAAGCACCGGCUAACUACGUG
This 467-nucleotide ribosomal RNA is filed under the name uncultured bacterium. RNAcentral's name for it is "partial 16S ribosomal RNA". It matches the Rfam family "Bacterial small subunit ribosomal RNA", at positions 29 to 507 of the family's 1533-position model. The record is from RNAcentral.